UGGGGAAUAUUGCACAAUGGGGGAAACCCUGAUGCAGCGACGCCGCGUGAGCGAAGAAGUAUUUCGGUAUGUAAAGCUCUAUCAGCAGGGAAGAAAAAAAUGACGGUACCUGACUAAGAAGCCCCGGCUAACUACGUGCCAGCAGCCGCGGUAAUACGUAGGGGGCAAGCGUUAUCCGGAUUUACUGGGUGUAAAGGGAGCGCAGGCGGUGCGGCAAGUCUGAUGUGAAAGCCCGGGGCUCAACCCCGGGACUGCAUUGGAAACUGUCGUACUUGAGUAUCGGAGAGGUAAGUGGAAUUCCUAGUGUAGCGGUGAAAUGCGUAGAUAUUAGGAGGAACACCAGUGGCGAAGGCGGCUUACUGGACGAUAACUGACGCUGAGGCUCGAAAGCGUGGGGAGCAAACA
This 405-nucleotide ribosomal RNA is filed under the name uncultured bacterium. Its description in RNAcentral is "bacterial SSU rRNA". It matches the Rfam family "Bacterial small subunit ribosomal RNA", at positions 355 to 774 of the family's 1533-position model. The record is from RNAcentral.